AAACUUGUGGCUUAGUGGUUUGAGUGCUGGACUAGGAUUCCAAAGACCAGAGUUUGAAUCCCAGCUUGGCCA
Non-coding RNA from Phrynosoma platyrhinos (Desert horned lizard), 72 nucleotides. NCBI's taxonomy places the organism in Eukaryota, Metazoa, Chordata, Lepidosauria, Squamata, Phrynosomatidae. The record is from the annotation of a GenBank genome assembly.